Molecule: small nuclear RNA, 102 nt
Filed under: Piliocolobus tephrosceles (Ugandan red Colobus)
Lineage: Eukaryota; Metazoa; Chordata; Mammalia; Primates; Cercopithecidae
Source: RNAcentral
GUGCUCGCUUUGGCAGCACAUACACUACAACUGGAAUGAUACAGAGAAGAUUAGCAUGGCCCCUGUGCAAGGAUGACAUGCAAAUUUUUUUAAAAAGUUUGU